GGCAGCAUGACUAAGCACAGGCCACAGAGCACGACCCUUGGCGCUAAAGGAAGAGACCCAACAUGGAGUCAGCAUUUAGGGACCAUCGGUGAGAACUACUUCUAAGCUAAAAAUGUCUAGCACCUGAAAAAAAAAUCAAGACGGGUUCUCUCUGGAUACAAGAGGACAGGAUUUAAGCUCUGUCUCUUACUUGCCACGUGGCCCUCAAUUUGUUCUGACAUGCUUUCUCUAAGAACACAGACAAUGCAGAUAUAACACCUGGAUCUGUGAGUUAAUUGCUACCUCGGCCGCCACCAAGAGACUUUCUAAGUGGCCAAGCACAAGGAUCUUCUGUUUCUUAUCCAAGUGCCUUAUUUCAUCAAAGCCCCAAGUCCAUGAAUUGACCCUUAACUAUGAAUUCCUGCUUCACUUCUAUUUCACUUGGCCAUUUUAGAGCAAGAAAGAGCCAGAAUUAGGUGUCAGCCAGCAGGUGUGGCUUAUAAUUCAUAUUUUUUGAAGAAAAAUCUGUCUAAGCUGGUUUUAAGUUAUCUUGUUAGACAUUAAAACUGUGGGGGUGGGAGGGUCAGUGUUUUUACAUGCUUAAGCGUUGUUCAUUAAACUGAUUUGUUGAGAAGUUCAAAAGGUAAAAGAGAGCUAUGUUUGGAGUUUUAAAAUUUUACAGGUUUCCCUUCCAAAUGGUGAAAAGUGGAAUACAAUAUUAUUAUUAUUAUUUUUAUUCCACAGGCAGGUGUGAGCUUGAGCAUAUUAAGUUUCUUGGCUUUCUUUUGAUUUUAUAUAACGAGCCUUUUGUUGGACUUGAUUAUUACAGUGAUGGUCUCCCUCUCUGAUUCUGAUUAAACCAUGAAACCCCACAUACUCACUGAUAUUUGUCAUUUCGUUUUGGUUGGUAAGUGAGUUUUGGUGAUGAAACUGUGAAGCCACAAAUUCCCUGGAGCACUGGAAUGCAGUUAAAAGGAAACUACCCCAACUAGCAGAGUUUGGUUCAAUUUGAACCUGCGGCUUCACGCUCACUCACAGUUAAUAAAUGCUACCCAUUCAUCUAGCCCGGGGAAUGAGACUGGCGGCACCCACAUUCGACUGGCUGAAGAAUUCUCAGGAUGCUCCUAAAACCAAGCUGAGUUGUAUGGGGUCAACCUGGGCUUCUGCUGAGGAUCAGAGAAUGAGUAUUCUCAUAGGUAAGGGCCACUUGAGCAACUGACCCUAUUUAUGGUAGAGGUACUGGCCAGCUGGGACAUGAACUCACAGGCUUUAGUUAUGAAUCAGUUUUUAAAAGACUAUCACAACUGGGUUGAAGGUGUUCAAACUGAACUAUUAUUUUUAGUUUCUGCAUUGCUUGGGUUUGUCCAGAAUGAAAGUACUUCUGGUGACGUUCCAUACCAGAAAGAGGACUGUUUAGAGGUGUGAACCAUUCAGGUGUGGACUCAGGUUAGGAAAGUUCUCCAGGUCAUAAGCUGUUUUUCCUAAAGGCAGGACAUGUUCCCAGGUGCCAGCGGUGUAAGAUUUGUGUUCUGUCUUACCCCAUCUCUGCAGUGGUUGACAGUAUUGAUUGCUUCUUCUUUGAAAAACUCCCUUGGCUUUGGUGACAGAACUCUCUCCUGGCUUUUCUCUUACCUCUCUGGCCUCUCCUUCUCACUCUUCCUUGUAGGCUUUUUGCCCCUUUGCUCAUCUGUUAACUGUGAUCUCUUGGGGGUUCUGUCUUUGGUUCUCACCUCUUCUGUACAUUGUCCUUGGUGAGAUUUCUGGGAGACCUUUUUCGUCAACACACUGUGUCUUCCUGCCUCAGGGCCUUUGCUCAUGGUUUUCUCUGCUUACAGUGUUCUUUCCCCAGAGAUGGGGAUACCUGACUUAUUUCUUUAUUUAGUUCUCUACUCAAAUUGUCAACUUUCAAAUGAAGCUUCCCUGGUUAUCCAUAGAAAAUAGCAGGUACCCAGUCAGGGUCGGGACUAGGGUAAGGCAAGCGAGGCGCCCAGGGCACACAGUUUAAGGAGGUAAGUUCAGAUCAGCAUCUGAGACCGUGUGCCUCCUUAUAGUUGGUACUCUGGGCAUCCUGCUUACCUCAUCUAUCCUGACCCUGUACCUGUACUCAGUCACUCUCUAGACUCUUAAUUUAGUUUAUCUUACUUUACAGAUGUUUUAUAACUAACAUAU
Non-coding RNA from Vicugna pacos (alpaca), 2148 nucleotides. The record is from RefSeq and is a predicted model, not a curated record. Lineage: Eukaryota; Metazoa; Chordata; Mammalia; Artiodactyla; Camelidae.